RNAcentral lists this ribosomal RNA (774 nucleotides) under uncultured Neocallimastigales. RNAcentral's name for it is "partial large subunit ribosomal RNA". It matches the Rfam family "Eukaryotic large subunit ribosomal RNA", at positions 24 to 644 of the family's 3401-position model. Lineage: Eukaryota; Fungi; Neocallimastigomycota; Neocallimastigomycetes; Neocallimastigales. The record is from RNAcentral.
UAUCUCUGUAGAGUCUGCAUAUCAAUAAGCGGAGGAAAAGAAACUAACAAGGAUUCCCCUAGUAACGGCGAGUGAAGCGGGAAGAGCUCAAAUUUGAAAUCUUCAAGGUUCUACCUUGACGAAUUGUAGUUUAAAGAAGUGUUUUCGGUUAGAGGAGUAGUAAAAGUUCUUUGGAAUAGGACAUCAUAGAGGGUGAGAAUCCCGUAUUUGACCAUUAUUUCUAGCUUUGUGAUACACUUUCAAAGAGUCGGAUUGUUUGGGAAUGCAGUCCAAAAUGGGUGGUAAAUUUCAUCUAAAGCUAAAUAUUGGCGAGAGACCGAUAGCGAACAAGUACCGUGAGGGAAAGAUGAAAAGAACUUUGAAAAGAGAGUUAAACAGUACGUGAAAUUGUCAAAAGGGAAGCGUUAGACACCAGUGUUGUUUUUCCGAAAAUCAAUUAAAAAUUGAUUCAUGCCAGGUUGUAUUGACCUUAUCAGCUUGCAAUUUGGUUUUGGGUCUCUUUUUGAUGCACUUUUCGGUUAACAAGUCAACAUCAAUUUCCUUUGCUGUAAAAAGGUAAGAGGAAGGUGGCUUCAAUUUCGGUUGAAGUGUUUAUAGCCUUUUAUCUCUGCAGUCGGGGAGAUUGAGGUCUGCAGCGUAGAUCCUUCGGGGCUAGAUACAUUUAUGCUAAGUUAUAGCUUUCCAUAGACAACUUGUUGACUAUGUUUAGUCAUGUAGCUUACUCGUAAGUGCUAUUUUACCUACGCUUAGGAUGUUGAGCGCAUGUCUCUCUCU